This 573-nucleotide ribosomal RNA is filed under the name Parachromis motaguensis (false yellowjacket cichlid). RNAcentral's name for it is "partial 16S ribosomal RNA". It matches the Rfam family "Bacterial large subunit ribosomal RNA", at positions 1816 to 2597 of the family's 2925-position model. Lineage: Eukaryota; Metazoa; Chordata; Actinopteri; Cichliformes; Cichlidae. The record is from RNAcentral.
CGCCUCUUGAAACAAACAUAAGAGGUCCCGCCUGCCCGGUGACUAUUAGUUUAACGGCCGCGGUAUUUUGACCGUGCAAAGGUAGCGCAAUCACUUGUCCUUUAAAUGAAGACCUGUAUGAAUGGCACCACGAGGGCUCAACUGUCUCCUUUCUCCUGUCAAUGAAAUUGAUCUCCCCGUGCAGAAGCGGGGAUUCACCCAUAAGACGAGAAGACCCUAUGGAGCUUUAGGCACCAGAACAGACUAUGUUAAGCACCCUAACACAAAAGACAAAACUAACUAGACCCUAUUCCAAUGCCUUUGGUUGGGGCGACCGCGGGGAAACAAAAACCCCCCACGUGGACUAAGAGCACCCCACUCUUACAACCAAGGGCCACAGCCCUAAGUAACAGAACCUCUGACCCUAAAUGAUCCGGUAAAACCGAUCAACGAACCGAGUUACCCUAGGGAUAACAGCGCAAUCCCCUUCUAGAGUCCAUAUCGACAAGGGGGUUUACGACCUCGAUGUUGGAUCAGGACAUCCUAUUGGUGCAGUCGCUAUUAAGGGUUCGUUUGUUCAACGAUUAAAGUCCU